RNAcentral lists this long non-coding RNA (2711 nucleotides) under Sus scrofa (pig). RNAcentral's name for it is "lncRNA (ENSSSCG00040069721.1)". The record is from RNAcentral. Lineage: Eukaryota; Metazoa; Chordata; Mammalia; Artiodactyla; Suidae.
GAACACAUUUGAAUUUAUAAUAGAGAAAUAGAUUUUUAAUGUAGGCUUUAUACUAGGUAACUAUAAGACUCCUUCCUAUUCUAUCAAGGAUUCUAAAUUUUGUAAGUACUUUGUGAGACAUAUUAGUGCAAAAAGAUAGAAUAUGAAUACUGAAUAAUGCGUAAGAAUUUUAACCACAGAAAGUAUGACAAGUUUUUAAGUCUUGCUAAAUUCACAGAACUAUUUUUUUUUCCAUUGGAUAUACGAUAUUAUAAAAAAAUUAUAGCGAUUACUUUCUACUAGUAAUUCAGAAGGUAUCCUAAUUACCAUAUAUUAACAUUUUAAACUGCAAGCCAAGAUUAGGGUGAUUUAAAAACCUACUUAAAAUUAAAAAUGAAAAAGUUUUGUUCCAUGCUAAUUAGUCAAUGAGGAUAUUAUCACAAUGUUUUGGUGGGUACUCAAGAAUUAAAAUAUGGUAAAAUGUUUUAAAUCACAUUCUCUACACUUUAUUUGCAAAUUGCUUUGUUUUUUUAUGCAGUGGCAAAAUGCAAAUGUUUCUCAUAGGAACUUUCAUAUUCAUAGCCAUAAAAAUGUUCUCAAAUCCCAUGAGAUUUAUCAUGAACAUUAAACUUGCCUUAUUAUUUUUUAGGUCAGUGUAACCAAAGAGGGAGCUUUUAAAAUAACACCAUGCUUUCAGGGGAAGUUUUAAUUUCAUCAUUUUUAUUAAGUCAAAUACUAUCAAAAGCAAGACAAAAUAACUAUAGCUUUCAAUUUUCAUGUAAUGAAUAUAUUUUUGAAAGUAAUUAGUGCAAUCCCCAAACAGAGAGAAUGAUUUAAAAUGAUAAUGUGAAAUAAUUUUACUUUCAUGAUCCUAUAUUGCUCUUUUAGUGUUAACAUUUUAGUUUAAAUUCUUGAACAAAAUUCAUUUGCUGUGCUUGUUUUGUAGCUGUUCUUUCCCUGGGGGAUUUUUCAGAAUAUUGCAUCAGCUUGUGUUUUCCAGGUUCUCAUUUCUGAAUUUGAAAAGAGGCUCCCAAAGAGAUUAUAGCUAAGUAAGAUCUCAUUAUUUAUAUAUAUUUUGUUUGAAUAAAUGCCCUAGGAUUUGAAGCUAUCAUCAGCUCUUUUCUGACCCCAAUUAUUAAGAUAGUUCAGUAUUUUUCAGAGUCAUCAUUGCAACUAAAAGAGAAAUAAUAGUUUUAAAAAGGCACACCUAACAUCAGAAAUGCAACUGAUUUAAUCUUCACUGGAACUGUAAUUAAAAUAUAAUAAUAAUGACUGUGCAUAUACAUUAUUUCUAUUUAUUUAAAGUACCUGGAGUAUUUUAGUACUUGAUUUUUUUAAAAUAAUAUUCUAAUUAGACAUUAGCACAAAUGAAUUACUCUCCUACAGGUGUUCCAUAGACACGUUCUAUAUAGAGAUGCCUGUGUCUACAGUUUUCAGAUUGUCAAUGAUGAGAGUAAGACAGCAUAUUACAAAGGAAACACUGCUCUCUUCAUCUCUGAAACCACCCCUAUUUAAUUAAUUAAGAUUUCAUACAUUUUUAAUUUUUUUUUUCUUUUCUCUUCUUUUUCUUUUUAGGGCCGCAACUAUGGCAUGUGGAAGUUCCCAGGCUAGGGGGUCAAAUCGAAGCUGCAGCUGCCAGCCUAAUCCCCAGCCACAGCAACGCUGGAUCUUUAACCCAUUGAGUGAGGCCAGGGAUCGAACCUGUGUCCUCAUGGAUACGAGUCGGGUUCAUUGCCACUGAGCCACAAUGGGAAUUCCUCAUACGUUUUUUAAUUAUCUAGGUUUUCUUAGAACUACCAUAUCUGAGAUGUUUUAAAAAUUAAGGUGUUAAAAUUUUUAUUUCCAUUGUGGACUGGAUUAUAAUAUUUUAGAUUAGUUCUAUUUAAAGAAAGGUGAGUGUGUUUGGGUGUGUGUGUAUGUGUGUGUUAACUGUGGUUUGGGGCAACAUUCAGGAGUUCACCCAAAUAUUGAUUUUUCAAACUGUGUGUUAUAAAGCAGUAGUGAGGAAUUCCCGUCUUUCCUCAGUGGUUAUCAAACCUGACUAGUAUCUAUGAGGAUGCGGGUUUGAUCCCUGGCCUUGCUCAGUGGGCGAAGGAUCCAGUGUUGCCGUGAGUAUGGUGUAGGUCACAGAUGUGGCUCGGAUCCCACGUUGCUGUGUCUGGUGUAGUCUGGCAGCUGCAGCUCAGAUUCAAUCCCUAGCCUGGGAACUUCCAUAUGCUGCAUGUGUGGCCCUACAAAAAAAAAAAAAAGACAAAAGACAAAAAAAAAAAAAAGCAGCAGUGAUUUAUAUUAAAAUUAUAUUUGAAACAUAGUUUUUCAGUGAAAAUUGCAAAACCUGGAAAAUCAUUCACAAUUUCCCUGGGUUGAUGCUAUGACUUCUGGCCAAUUCAAAAUUGAGUGAUUUGAAGAGAGAUAUUAUGAACAUCAGAUGGCCAGAAUUUAGGAAGAAACUUAUUUCAUCCACAGUCCUAUAGCUCAUCAAAUUUUGUCAUACUCCCCCUUCUAUUCUGAUAAUAACAGAAGCUUUGUCUCACUUUAGAAAUUUCUGCGUUAGGUUUUCUUCAUAAGGUGUAAGUGAGGAGGAUUCCCUUGGGAUUGCAUCCCUUUGAGGGCAAAGGCAGUGUCAGCUGAUCUCACACGGGAACAUGUGCUGCCACAGACACUGACAAGGAUUCUGGCUGAGAACCUGUUUGAUUUUUCUGAAAAAACAAGCUUUUUUUGUAGGCUGCCCA